RNAcentral lists this ribosomal RNA (920 nucleotides) under uncultured bacterium. RNAcentral describes it as "bacterial SSU rRNA". It matches the Rfam family "Bacterial small subunit ribosomal RNA", at positions 33 to 935 of the family's 1533-position model. The record is from RNAcentral.
ACGCUGGCGGCGUGCCUAAUACAUGCAAGUAGAACGCUGAAGCUUGGUGCUUGCACCGAGCGGAUGAGUUGCGAACGGGUGAGUAACGCGUAGGUAACCUGCCUCUUAGCGGGGGAUAACUAUUGGAAACGAUAGCUAAUACCGCAUAAAAGUCGAUAUCGCAUGAUAUUGAUUUGAAAGGUGCAAUUGCAUCACUAAGAGAUGGACCUGCGUUGUAUUAGCUAGUUGGUGAGGUAACGGCUCACCAAGGCGACGAUACAUAGCCGACCUGAGAGGGUGAUCGGCCACACUGGGACUGAGACACGGCCCAGACUCCUACGGGAGGCAGCAGUAGGGAAUCUUCGGCAAUGGGGGCAACCCUGACCGAGCAACGCCGCGUGAGUGAAGAAGGUUUUCGGAUCGUAAAGCUCUGUUGUAAGAGAAGAACGAGUGUGAGAGUGGAAAGUUCACACUGUGACGGUAACUUACCAGAAAGGGACGGCUAACUACGUGCCAGCAGCCGCGGUAAUACGUAGGUCCCGAGCGUUAUCCGGAUUUAUUGGGCGUAAAGCGAGCGCAGGCGGUUAGAUAAGUCUGAAGUUAAAGGCUGUGGCUUAACCAUAGUACGCUUUGGAAACUGUUUAACUUGAGUGCAGAAGGGGAGAGUGGAAUUCCAUGUGUAGCGGUGAAAUGCGUAGAUAUAUGGAGGAACACCGGUGGCGAAAGCGGCUCUCUGGUCUGUAACUGACGCUGAGGCUCGAAAGCGUGGGGAGCAAACAGGAUUAGAUAUCCUGGUAGUCCACGCCGUAAACGAUGAGUGCUAGGUGUUGGGUCCUUUCCGGGACUCAGCGCCGCAGCUAACGCAUUAAGCACUCCGCCUGGGGAGUACGACCGCAAGGUUGAAACUCAAAGGAAUUGACGGGGGCCCGCACAAGCGGUGG